UUGGAGGGCAAGUCUGGUGCCAGCAGCCGCGGUAAUUCCAGCUCCAAUAGCGUAUAUUAAAGUUGUUGCAGUUAAAAAGCUCGUAGUUGAAUUUCGGGAUCAAUAUGUUGGUCGUGCCUUGGUACGUACUAGUUUAUUGGUUUCUUCCUUCUGACGAACCAUGAUGUCAUUAAUUUGGUGUCUUGGGGAAUCAGGACUGUUACUUUGAAAAAAUUAGAGUGUUUAAAGCAGGCUCACGCUUGAAUACAUUAGCAUGGAAUAAUGAAAUAGGACGUUUGAUUCUAUUUUGUUGGUUUCUAGGAUCGACGUAAUGAUUAAUAGGGAUAGUUGGGGGCAUUAGUAUCCAAUUGUCAGAGGUGAAAUUCUUGGAUUUAUUGAAGACUAACUACUGCGAAAGCAUUUGCCAAGGAUGUUUUCAUUAAUCAAGAACGAAAGUUAGGGGAUCGAAGACGAUCAGAUACCGUCGUAGUCUUAACCAUAAACUAUGCCGACUAGGGAUCGGAUGAUGUUAAUUUUUUAAUGACUCAUUCGGCGCCUUACGGGAAAC
RNAcentral lists this ribosomal RNA (547 nucleotides) under uncultured Glomus. RNAcentral describes it as "SSU rRNA". It matches the Rfam family "Eukaryotic small subunit ribosomal RNA", at positions 548 to 1098 of the family's 1831-position model. The record is from RNAcentral. Lineage: Eukaryota; Fungi; Glomeromycota; Glomeromycetes; Glomerales; Glomeraceae.